CAGGAACGCCCCGGCCCGGUCCGGGCGCUGCGCCCGCCCCACGCCGCGCUCCCCGCCCGCGGGGGCCGCCGCCCGUACCUCGUGUAUUCCCGCAGCCCCUUCACGAACCACACGGUGUUGCGGUACCAGGACAUGGCGCUGCUGCCUCCUGCACAGCGGUGCCGGUGCCGGCCCCGCCUCUGCCCUUACAUAAGCCAUCAAGGACAGCCGCAGCGAGCCCCUGCCGCGCCGGAGAUGACUGUGCCUGGUGACGGUGGUGGCAGAGGAAGGAUGGAGAGUUUCCCAGGGCACCUGGUCGGGACAGAUGCUGCUGCCAGCUAAUCCAGGACUGCAAACGGGGUGUUGUGUUUUGGGAACGGGGAGCAGAGUUCCAGGAUCUAUGCCUGCACCCUCUGCCCUAGAAAGCUGUCAAAGGGAUGCUCUCACAGAAACAUAACCGUGUUGUGCUUCACCAAGGAGCGUUUUGCAUAAUAAAUCCAUUAAAUAUCCAGCUCCUACUAAUGGAGCAAAGUAUACCAGUAAGGAAAGGGUACACGUAUGGCUGUUGCAGUAGGGGAAGUGAAAGUCAAAAUGUGUUUUCAGUUCCUCUGGUAUGUGCUUUGGAGCUAUGAAGCCCAAGAGAAUCACUUGGACUUGUACAUCUGGACAGCCCAUGUUAGCCAUAAGGAAAUUGUCAUUAUAGGUAUAAUUAUGCUUUUAAGUACAUGAAAGGACUACGCACUUAGAAAGUUCAGUGUGCAAGUUAGAUAAAUUCAUGUAUUUUACGUGAUGUGGGGAGGUCAUAUGCAGAGAACCCUAUCUGAGUUUUCAAGAGCUUAAGUUGCCUGGUUUCAAUAGCAGAGAUAGGGGAUAAAUGGGAAUAUUCUUUUUUGAUCCUGUACGAUAGUCUGAUACUUUUUUUUCUAAAUCUCUUCGCGCUGGCAAAGGCCUCAUACUGAAGUCUUCCACUUUCUCAGCACAUUGUGUGAGUAUUAGGCUCAUACAAAAGGCACUUCCCACUAUCAAGUUACAGUUUUGAACUCGGUGAACUGCGCACUGUCCGCUUGUACUGUGUAUUGCGUGUGAAGUAAGAGUUUUCAGAGGGCAAAGAGAUACAUUUUCACAGUGAUGUUUUCUUCCAUGCAGAGACCAUCCAGCUACAUGUACUUUUGCAUGAAAUGUAAAAAUGCUUGUUCUUAUUAAAACAGCUGAAAGACUCUAUUAAAAAACCAAUAGCCUGAGUCAGUUUUAACUGAUUUUGUUCUUGGAAAUGCCUGUGAGUUUGUGACUAAAGUAUUCCUAAACAAUUCAUCCUGAUUCUGUUGCUUGAAAUGGAGACUUUGGGCGCAGAAAGGAACAGCUUGGCAGUAGUGUGAGUGGCAGAAUGUUAUUUCAUAUAGUGGAAAUUGAGUGGCAGCCUAAACUAUGGACAUGUGCUGUGAUGUCUGUGAGUAUAUGGAAAUAGUUUUGUGAUCAUCACCGACAACAUGCAAUUGGCAACCAAAACUGUACAGCCUAAACUGCUAUGAUGAUGUCUGAUAAUCACACUCGCUCUGAACAGAGCAGAUGUUAGGCUUUGAAAGUCCUGCAUGCAGGCUGAGGUAAUGUCCCCCCUUCCUUCUUUCUGUCCCAUGCCCAGGAAGCCCUUCAGCUUCUCCCUUUCCCUCACAGCCCAGAGAAGUCUGCAUGGUUACUUUCCUCAAACCCUGGCUCAGCAGGGGAAAUCCAGAGAAUUAUGUGGGCAUGCCUGCUGUUAUGAAUAUCCGGGCAGAAAACUGCAGUGCUGCUCCACAUUUUCAUACUAGUUAGAGACUGUCUUACCUUGGGCUUCAUAACCCUCUCUGCAUCUCAGUGUGCUGUUAGGAGAAUAAUAAUGUUCCACAGCUGCUUAUGCCACAGAAUUAGCUGCAUUCUUUACAGGAAAUAUGUUUUCAUUUUGAAAAACAUUAGCAAAGCCCAAACAAAACAAUGGAAGCUCCUGUGAAUAAAUGCAAUAAACCAGGUUGUGUUUUA
Long non-coding RNA from Pipra filicauda (Wire-tailed manakin), 1992 nucleotides. RefSeq lists it as uncharacterized. The record is from RefSeq and is a predicted model, not a curated record. NCBI's taxonomy places the organism in Eukaryota, Metazoa, Chordata, Aves, Passeriformes, Pipridae. The transcript is spliced from 2 exons.